GGGCUCCUUCGGGAGCACCGGCGGACUGCUCAGUAACACGUGGACAACCUACCCUCGGGUGGGGGAUAACCUCGGGAAACUGAGGCUAAUACCCCAUAGGCCUCGGAUACUGGAAGGUUCCGAGACCGAAAGCUCCGGCGCCCGAGGAUGGGUCUGCGGCCUAUCAGGUAGUUGGUGGUGUAAAGGACCACCAAGCCUACGACGGGUACGGGCCCUGAGAGGGGGAGCCCGGAGAUGGACUCUGAGACACGAGUCCAGGCCCUACGGGGCGCAGCAGGCGCGAAACCUUCGCAAUGCGCGAAAGCGCGACGAGGGGAGCCCGAGUGCCCUUCCUUUCGGGAGGGCUUUUCUGGAGCCUAAAAAGCUCCAGGAAUAAGGGCUGGGCAAGACGGGUGC
RNAcentral lists this ribosomal RNA (396 nucleotides) under uncultured archaeon. RNAcentral's name for it is "bacterial SSU rRNA". It matches the Rfam family "Archaeal small subunit ribosomal RNA", at positions 62 to 458 of the family's 1478-position model. The record is from RNAcentral.